CCCUCUGAUACAGCCUUUGAGAUGGCAGUUCUCUCAGCACAGAUCCCCAAGUUGAAGCAGGCGUUUUCUACAUUACAGCCUGAUGCAGAGAAAUAAUCAAACGCUUAAAUGAGAGUUGUCGAAUGCAUUUCAGGCAUUGGCUCACCUGUGAAAACCGUCCCGUCAUGUGUCAGGAGUGCCGCCCCGACUCGGAACUUGCUGUAGGGGCAGUAGGCAAAUUUCCUGGCCUCGAGGGAUUUCUGAAUCAACUCUUUCAUUCCAGAGAAGUGUUCAUUCAACCCCUUAAUUAGCUCACGUCUCAUCUUUUGAUCUCCCAUGUUGCUGUGCUGUGUGUAUUGUGUUUCUGUGGCUCUACAGACUUGCCUGUGACUUUGUUUUUCCAGAUCCGGCAUCCAAUCCCCUUUUCCCAGAUCUCCCACCUCCCUGACGUUCUGUGUUUGAUGUGUGUGAUGCUGUCACGCUGCAAGGUUAUGUAAUUUCCAGUCUAGAGUCGACACAGCAACCUUUUCCUUGCCACACCGAGAGACAGUGAGGAAGAUGAGAAUAAAAACCCUGCUGCUCGGAUUCACCUGGCAGGAGUCUUUGCCGCCCAGCGGAGAGCCGGCGCACACCAUGUUGUCUGUGAUUCUGUAGUAGUAGUAGUAUUGACACUGAGGGAUGAUCUGGACAUCCACAGCACGCAGGACA
Long non-coding RNA from Onychostoma macrolepis, 687 nucleotides. RefSeq lists it as uncharacterized. NCBI's taxonomy places the organism in Eukaryota, Metazoa, Chordata, Actinopteri, Cypriniformes, Cyprinidae. The transcript is spliced from 3 exons. The record is from RefSeq and is a predicted model, not a curated record.